RNAcentral lists this unclassified non-coding RNA (172 nucleotides) under uncultured fungus. Its description in RNAcentral is "sequence contains ITS1". The record is from RNAcentral. Lineage: Eukaryota; Fungi.
UUAAAUUCUCAUGGUUUCAAAAUCAGACAGGACGAUUCAUCUGCAUGAAGGCGGCGCCCUCCGAAGGGGACGCCGAAACACGUUCUCUCUGAACGGUCCACAGGUUUGAUGGGGUUUGUGAAGGCACGGAGGCCGUUCGAUAAUGAUCCCUCCGCAGGUUCACCUACGGAGA